RNAcentral lists this ribosomal RNA (292 nucleotides) under uncultured bacterium. Its description in RNAcentral is "partial 16S ribosomal RNA". It matches the Rfam family "Bacterial small subunit ribosomal RNA", at positions 506 to 796 of the family's 1533-position model. The record is from RNAcentral.
UGCCAGCAGCCCGCGGUAAUACGGAGGAUGCAAGCGUUAUCCGGAAUCAUUGGGUUUAAAGGGUCCGUAGGCGGCCAAAUAAGUCAGUGGUGAAAGCCCAUCGCUCAACGAUGGAACGGCCAUUGAUACUGUUUGGCUUGAAUUAUUAGGAAGUAACUAGAAUAUGUAGUGUAGCGGUGAAAUGCUUAGAGAUUACAUGGAAUACCAAUUGCGAAGGCAGGUUACUACUAAUAUAUUGACGCUGAUGGACGAAAGCGUGGGGAGCGAACAGGAUUAGAUACCCUGGUAGUCC